CUUUAUAUCCCUCUGCGUUCAGAUAAAAC
Non-coding RNA from Bacillus smithii, 29 nucleotides. NCBI's taxonomy places the organism in Bacteria, Bacillati, Bacillota, Bacilli, Caryophanales, Bacillaceae. The record is from Rfam.